RNAcentral lists this ribosomal RNA (2925 nucleotides) under Escherichia coli. RNAcentral's name for it is "partial 23S ribosomal RNA". It matches the Rfam family "Bacterial large subunit ribosomal RNA". Lineage: Bacteria; Pseudomonadati; Pseudomonadota; Gammaproteobacteria; Enterobacterales; Enterobacteriaceae. The record is from RNAcentral.
GGGUUGUGAGGUUAAGCGACUAAGCGUACACGGUGGAUGCCCUGGCAGUCAGAGGCGAUGAAGGACGUGCUAAUCUGCGAUAAGCGUCGGUAAGGUGAUAUGAACCGUUAUAACCGGCGAUUUCCGAAUGGGGAAACCCAGUGUGUUUCGACACACUAUCAUUAACUGAAUCCAUAGGUUAAUGAGGCGAACCGGGGGAACUGAAACAUCUAAGUACCCCGAGGAAAAGAAAUCAACCGAGAUUCCCCCAGUAGCGGCGAGCGAACGGGGAGCAGCCCAGAGCCUGAAUCAGUAUGUGUGUUAGUGGAAGCGUCUGGAAAGGCGCGCGAUACAGGGUGACAGCCCCGUACACAAAAAUGCACAUGCUGUGAGCUCGAUGAGUAGGGCGGGACACGUGGUAUCCUGUCUGAAUAUGGGGGGACCAUCCUCCAAGGCUAAAUACUCCUGACUGACCGAUAGUGAACCAGUACCGUGAGGGAAAGGCGAAAAGAACCCCGGCGAGGGGAGUGAAAAAGAACCUGAAACCGUGUACGUACAAGCAGUGGGAGCACGCUUAGGCGUGUGACUGCGUACCUUUUGUAUAAUGGGUCAGCGACUUAUAUUCUGUAGCAAGGUUAACCGAAUAGGGGAGCCGAAGGGAAACCGAGUCUUAACUGGGCGUUAAGUUGCAGGGUAUAGACCCGAAACCCGGUGAUCUAGCCAUGGGCAGGUUGAAGGUUGGGUAACACUAACUGGAGGACCGAACCGACUAAUGUUGAAAAAUUAGCGGAUGACUUGUGGCUGGGGGUGAAAGGCCAAUCAAACCGGGAGAUAGCUGGUUCUCCCCGAAAGCUAUUUAGGUAGCGCCUCGUGAAUUCAUCUCCGGGGGUAGAGCACUGUUUCGGCAAGGGGGUCAUCCCGACUUACCAACCCGAUGCAAACUGCGAAUACCGGAGAAUGUUAUCACGGGAGACACACGGCGGGUGCUAACGUCCGUCGUGAAGAGGGAAACAACCCAGACCGCCAGCUAAGGUCCCAAAGUCAUGGUUAAGUGGGAAACGAUGUGGGAAGGCCCAGACAGCCAGGAUGUUGGCUUAGAAGCAGCCAUCAUUUAAAGAAAGCGUAAUAGCUCACUGGUCGAGUCGGCCUGCGCGGAAGAUGUAACGGGGCUAAACCAUGCACCGAAGCUGCGGCAGCGACGCUGAUGCGUUGUUGGGUAGGGGAGCGUUCUGUAAGCCUGUGAAGGUGUGCUGUGAGGCAUGCUGGAGGUAUCAGAAGUGCGAAUGCUGACAUAAGUAACGAUAAAGCGGGUGAAAAGCCCGCUCGCCGGAAGACCAAGGGUUCCUGUCCAACGUUAAUCGGGGCAGGGUGAGUCGACCCCUAAGGCGAGGCCGAAAGGCGUAGUCGAUGGGAAACAGGUUAAUAUUCCUGUACUUGGUGUUACUGCGAAGGGGGGACGGAGAAGGCUAUGUUGGCCGGGCGACGGUUGUCCCGGUUUAAGCGUGUAGGCUGGUUUUCCAGGCAAAUCCGGAAAAUCAAGGCUGAGGCGUGAUGACGAGGCACUACGGUGCUGAAGCAACAAAUGCCCUGCUUCCAGGAAAAGCCUCUAAGCAUCAGGUAACAUCAAAUCGUACCCCAAACCGACACAGGUGGUCAGGUAGAGAAUACCAAGGCGCUUGAGAGAACUCGGGUGAAGGAACUAGGCAAAAUGGUGCCGUAACUUCGGGAGAAGGCACGCUGAUAUGUAGGUGAAGUCCCUCGCGGAUGGAGCUGAAAUCAGUCGAAGAUACCAGCUGGCUGCAACUGUUUAUUAAAAACACAGCACUGUGCAAACACGAAAGUGGACGUAUACGGUGUGACGCCUGCCCGGUGCCGGAAGGUUAAUUGAUGGGGUUAGCGCAAGCGAAGCUCUUGAUCGAAGCCCCGGUAAACGGCGGCCGUAACUAUAACGGUCCUAAGGUAGCGAAAUUCCUUGUCGGGUAAGUUCCGACCUGCACGAAUGGCGUAAUGAUGGCCAGGCUGUCUCCACCCGAGACUCAGUGAAAUUGAACUCGCUGUGAAGAUGCAGUGUACCCGCGGCAAGACGGAAAGACCCCGUGAACCUUUACUAUAGCUUGACACUGAACAUUGAGCCUUGAUGUGUAGGAUAGGUGGGAGGCUUUGAAGUGUGGACGCCAGUCUGCAUGGAGCCGACCUUGAAAUACCACCCUUUAAUGUUUGAUGUUCUAACGUUGACCCGUAAUCCGGGUUGCGGACAGUGUCUGGUGGGUAGUUUGACUGGGGCGGUCUCCUCCUAAAGAGUAACGGAGGAGCACGAAGGUUGGCUAAUCCUGGUCGGACAUCAGGAGGUUAGUGCAAUGGCAUAAGCCAGCUUGACUGCGAGCGUGACGGCGCGAGCAGGUGCGAAAGCAGGUCAUAGUGAUCCGGUGGUUCUGAAUGGAAGGGCCAUCGCUCAACGGAUAAAAGGUACUCCGGGGAUAACAGGCUGAUACCGCCCAAGAGUUCAUAUCGACGGCGGUGUUUGGCACCUCGAUGUCGGCUCAUCACAUCCUGGGGCUGAAGUAGGUCCCAAGGGUAUGGCUGUUCGCCAUUUAAAGUGGUACGCGAGCUGGGUUUAGAACGUCGUGAGACAGUUCGGUCCCUAUCUGCCGUGGGCGCUGGAGAACUGAGGGGGGCUGCUCCUAGUACGAGAGGACCGGAGUGGACGCAUCACUGGUGUUCGGGUUGUCAUGCCAAUGGCACUGCCCGGUAGCUAAAUGCGGAAGAGAUAAGUGCUGAAAGCAUCUAAGCACGAAACUUGCCCCGAGAUGAGUUCUCCCUGACUCCUUGAGAGUCCUGAAGGAACGUUGAAGACGACGACGUUGAUAGGCCGGGUGUGUAAGCGCAGCGAUGCGUUGAGCUAACCGGUACUAAUGAACCGUGAGGCUUAACCUUACAACGCCGAAG